Gadus macrocephalus (Pacific cod) is the source of this 740-nucleotide long non-coding RNA. RefSeq lists it as uncharacterized. The record is from RefSeq and is a predicted model, not a curated record. The transcript has 3 exons. Lineage: Eukaryota; Metazoa; Chordata; Actinopteri; Gadiformes; Gadidae.
ACACACUUUUAUCACACCUUUUAGUUUUGUUCUGUCACAUGUCCAGUUCAGUCUGUAUCCUUCACAGAUCGAUUGUGUUCACCAGUCCCAUUCAGUCUGUUGUUUUCACUAGUCCCAUUCAGUCAGUUGUGUUGUGUCCACUAGUCCCUUUCGGUCUGUUGUGUUUACUAGUCCGAUCCAGUCUGCUAUCCCAUUCAGUCACUGUCCUUCACAGAUCUGAGGUGUUCACUAUUCCCAUCCAGUCUGUUCUGUUGUGUUCACUAGUCUCAUUCAGUCAGUUGUGUUCACUAGUCCCAUUCAGUUUGUUCUGUUGUGUCCACUAGUCCCUUUCGGUCUGUUGUGUUUACUAGUCCCAUUCAGUCUGUUAUGUUCACUAGUCCCAUUCAGUCACUAUCCCUCACAGGUCUGUUGUGGUCACUAGUCACAUUCAGUCACUGUCCUUCACAGGUCUGAGGUGUUCACUAUUCCCAUCCAGUCUGUUCUGUUGUGUUCACUAGUCCCAUUCGGGUCUUUUGUGUUCACUAGUCCCGUUCAGUCUGUUGUGUUCACUAGUCCCGUUCAGUCUGUUGUGUUCACUAGUCCCAUUCAGUCAGUUGUGUUCACUAGUCCCAUUCAGUCUGUUCUGUUGUGUUCACUAGUCCCAUUCAGGUCUGUUGUGUUCACUAUUCCCAUUCAGGUCUGUUGUGUUCAGUAGUCCCAUUCAGGUCUGUUGUGCUCACUGUUGCCUGUAUCUUUGUGGA